CGAAGAAUAUGACGGUAAUAUACGAAUAAGGGUCGGCUAACUACGUGCCAGCAGCCGCGGUCAUACGUAGGACCCAAGCGUUAUCCGGAGUGACUGGGCGUAAAGAGUUGCGUAGGCGGUCUUUUAAGCGAGUGGUGGAAUCUGGUGGCUCAACCAUACAGACUAUUACUCGAACUGGGAGACUUGAGAAUGGUAGAGGUAGUUGGAAUUUCUUGUGUAGGAGUGAAAUCCGUAGAUAUAAGAAGGAACACCAAUGGCGUAGGCAGACUACUGGACCAUUUCUGACGCUGAGGCACGAAAGCGUGGGGAGCGAACCGGAUUAGAUACCCGGGUAGUCCACGCCGUAAACGAUGGAUGCUAGCUGUGGGGGGUAUCGACCCCCUCCGUAGCGAAGCUAACGCGUUAAGCAUCCCGCCUGUGGAGUACGGCCGCAAGGCUAAAACAUAAAGGAAUUGACGGGGACCCGCACAAGCGGUGGAGCGUGUUCUUUAAUUCGAUGAUAAACGAAGAACCUUACCAAGGCUUGACAUCCCGAGAAUUACUCCGAAAGGAGUGAGUGCUUUAUUGAACUCGGUGACAGAUCUUGCAUGGCCGUCGUCAGCUCGUGUCGUGAGAUGUUUGGUUAAGUCCAUCAACGAGCGCAACCCUUAUGAAUAGUUGGAUUUUUCUAUUCAGACUGCCCCGGUAACGGGGAGGAAGGGGGGGAUGAUGUCAGGUCAGUAUUAGUCUUACGUCUUGGGCUAGAAACGCGCUACAAUGGCCGGUACAACGGGCAGCUAACCCGCAAGGGGGAGCAAAUCCUAUCAAAGCCGGUCCCAGUUCGGAUUGGAGGCUGAAACUCGCCUCCAUGAAGUCGGAAUCGCUAGUAAUCGCAGAUCAGCAUGUUGCGGUGAAUACGUUCCCGGGUCUUGUACACACCGCCCGU
This 925-nucleotide ribosomal RNA is filed under the name uncultured bacterium. Its description in RNAcentral is "bacterial SSU rRNA". It matches the Rfam family "Bacterial small subunit ribosomal RNA", at positions 461 to 1397 of the family's 1533-position model. The record is from RNAcentral.